AAUUUUGGACAAUGGGGGAAACCCUGAUCCAGCCAUCCCGCGUGUGCGAUUAAGGCCUUCUGUUUGUAAAGCACUUUUGUCAGGGAAGAAAACGUCCUGGCUAAUACCCGGAACUGCUGUCAGUACCUAUAGAAUAUGCAUCGGCUAACUACGUGCCAGCCUCCGCGGUAAUACGUAGCGUUCAAGCGUUAAUCGUAAUUACUGGGCGUAAAGCGUGCGAAGGCGGUUAGGAAAGAAGGAUGUGAAAGCCCAGGGCUCAACCUUGGAACUGCAUGCUUAACUACCGAACUAGAGUAUGUCAGAGGGGGGUAGAAUUCCGCGUGUAGCAGUGAAAUGCGUAGAUAUGCGGAGGAAUACCGAUGGCGAAGGCAGCCCCCUGGGAUAAUACUGACGCUCAUGCACGAAAGCGUGGGUAGCAAACAGG
Molecule: ribosomal RNA, 424 nt
Filed under: uncultured bacterium
Lineage: Bacteria
Description: partial 16S ribosomal RNA
Rfam family: Bacterial small subunit ribosomal RNA
Source: RNAcentral